ACAAGCAGACUAUUCCUGACUGUAUUGUUGUUUGUUUCCUCGAUUCGCUCUCAUUUCAAGCUUUGUGAAUAGAAAUAGUUGGGAUUAUUCAUUCUGAGCUGGGAAAAAUCUGAUUGAUUUUGAUAUCACAAGAACGGUUACUGGUAAAAGUGUUAGCCAGAACCCAUUAUUUUUACGAGUGUAAGAAGAAUGGCCAAGUGGAUUUUCCUAGAUGAUGGUGUUACAGCCAUCCAUGAUGAGACAGGGGAAGUGUACAAGUUCGAGCCAACAGUAAAAUGCAAUGGGCAAGGGCAGGCUACUCAAAAUGUAACGAAUGACUCUUACAACUUGAAAGCGAAGCAGGAGAAGCCUUUGGUUACAAAUACUGUGAAGUCUGUCACUUCAGAUCCUGUCAAAAAAUAAAUUA
Daphnia pulicaria is the source of this 406-nucleotide long non-coding RNA. RefSeq lists it as uncharacterized. The record is from RefSeq and is a predicted model, not a curated record. NCBI's taxonomy places the organism in Eukaryota, Metazoa, Arthropoda, Branchiopoda, Diplostraca, Daphniidae. The transcript is spliced from 3 exons.